This 555-nucleotide long non-coding RNA is filed under the name Medicago truncatula (barrel medic). RNAcentral's name for it is "long non-coding RNA (MTRU_LNC003789)". Lineage: Eukaryota; Viridiplantae; Streptophyta; Magnoliopsida; Fabales; Fabaceae. The record is from RNAcentral.
AACUAUGUAAAUCCUACAGCUCCACCAAGUCCUAUAGUAACACCACCUUCUCCAGUGAAGGCACCACCAACACCACCUUUAGUUAAAUCACCACCUAUUGUGAAAGCACCUUCUCCACCAUUGGUGAAAACACCACCAUAUCAAUCACCACCAGUGAAACCAACACCACCUAUUGUGAAAUCACCUCCUUCUCCACCAUUGGUAAAAUCACCACCUUAUCAAUCACCACCUAUUGUUAAGGCACCUUCUCCCCCUCUAGUGAAACCAACUCCACCUAUUGUGAAAUCACCUCCUUCUCCUCCUUUGGUGAAAACACCACCUUAUCAAUCACCACCUAUAGUGAAGGCACCACCAACUCCUCCACCUAUUGUGAAAACACCUCCUUAUCAAUCACCACCAAUAGUUAAACCACCAGUUGCUCCAUCUCCACCACCUACUCCAAUAGUCAAAUCAUGGAAGGGUAAGUCAAUUUCCAUUUACAUGUCUUUAAUAUGUAACAUUUUAAUAACACAUAAGACUAUGUUCAUGUUUCUAAAUUGUGGUCUCAAUAUAAUA